UAAACAUAGACAGUUCACAUACCCUACUGUUCGCCCGGGAACUACGAGCAUCAGCUUAAAACCCAAAGGACUUGGCGGUGCUUUAAACCCACCUAGAGGAGCCUGUUCUAGAACCGAUAAUCCCCGUUCAACCUCACCCUUCCUUGUUCUAUCCCGCCUAUAUACCACCGUCGUCAGUUUACCCUGUGAAGGUCAAACAGUAAGCACAAUCGGCAUAGCCCAAAACGUCAGGUCGAGGUGUAGCGUAUGGAAGGGGAAGAAAUGGGCUACAUUCCCUAAUAUUAGGGUACACGGACGACAUACUGAAACGCAUGUCUGAAGGAGGAUUUAGCAGUAAGCAGGAA
Molecule: ribosomal RNA, 344 nt
Filed under: Holacanthus passer (king angelfish)
Lineage: Eukaryota; Metazoa; Chordata; Actinopteri; Pomacanthidae
Description: partial 12S ribosomal RNA
Rfam family: Bacterial small subunit ribosomal RNA
Source: RNAcentral